UAACGAGGAUUCCCUCAGUAACGGCGAGCGAAGUGGGAACAGCUCGAGCCUGAAAUCCCUGGCAGUCGCUGUCAGGGAGUUGUGGCCGGGAGAGGCAACUGGGCACUGGGCGACGCUGUCGAAGUUGACCUGGAAAGGCGCGUCGGAGAGGGUGAGAGCCCCGUACGCGGCACCGUCGACCAGGGCCGUCAUUGCCUUCGGAGAGUCGGGUUGUUUGGGAAUGCAGCCCAAAGUGGGUGGUAAACUCCAUCUAAAGCUAAAUACUGGCACGAGACCGAUAGCAAACAAGUACCGUGAGGGAAAGGUGAAAAGUACUUUGAAAAGAGAGUCAAAAAGACCGCGAAACCGUUAGGAGGGAAGCGAAUGCAGCUGAAUCGGCUCUGCUCAAGUUCAGGAGCGACGUCGGUCAGCGAUGCCGGUCUGCGAGAGCCGAGAGGCUUCGCUCUCCGGAUAGCUGUCGACUCCUCUGCACUCUUGUGCGAGCCGGCCAACGACGGUCGUCGGCGGCUGAGAAGGGCCUUCGGGUAGGUGCUCGCUCCUCGGAGCGAUACUUAUAGCCGUCGGUCUGGAAGUCCGCGGGCGACCGAGGAUGACUGGCAGUGCGGGCCUUCGGGGCUUUGGGCCGCUCCUGGCCGUUUGGUCACCGCGUGAGGGUCUGCGUGCAGUGCCUGACGACGGAUGAACUCUCGGGCGGGAUGUCGGUGACACGUCGCGCUGCAGUCGUUGGUGCUCGAAUGGCUGCAUCCGACCCGUCUUGAAACACGGACCAAGGAGUGCAACAUGCGUGCGAGUCUUUGGGUGGCAAACCCAGCGGCACAAUGAAAGUGAAGGCAGGCGUUGGUCUGCUCAGGCGAGAGUCUCCUCGCGAGACGCAUCGUCGACCGAUCCCAGGUCACGCCGUGGCGGGAUUUGAGUGAGAGCGUGCCUGUUGCGACCCGAAAGAUGGUGAACUAUGCCUGAAUAGGGUGAAGCCAGAGGAAACUCUGGUGGAAGCUCGUAGCGAUUCUGACGUGCAAAUCGAUCGUCAAAUUUGGGUAUAGGGGCGAAAGACUAAUCGAACCAUCUAGUAGCUGGUUCCCUCCGAAGUUUCCCUCAGGAUAGCUGGAGCCCGGUGCAGUUUUAUCAGGUAAAGCGAAUGAUUAGAGGUCUUGGGGUUGAAACAACCUCAACCUAUUCUCAAACUUUAAAUGGGUAAGAAGCUCGGCUUGCUUAAUUGAAGUCGGGCAUCGAAUGCCGGGGUUCCUAGUGGGCCAUUUUUGGUAAGCAGAACUGGCGAUGUGGGAUGAACCAAAUGCCGGGUUAAGGUGCCCGAAUCGACGCUCAUCAGAUACCAUGAAAGGUGUUGGUUGAUCUAGACAGCAGGACGGUGGCCAUGGAAGUCGGAAUCCG
Molecule: ribosomal RNA, 1389 nt
Filed under: Halichondria bowerbanki
Lineage: Eukaryota; Metazoa; Porifera; Demospongiae; Suberitida; Halichondriidae
Description: partial large subunit ribosomal RNA
Rfam family: Eukaryotic large subunit ribosomal RNA
Source: RNAcentral